Molecule: long non-coding RNA, 195 nt
Organism: Bombyx mori (domestic silkworm)
Lineage: Eukaryota; Metazoa; Arthropoda; Insecta; Lepidoptera; Bombycidae
Exons: 2
Source: RefSeq, a predicted model, not a curated record
AAAUUAAUCAGUAGCGAUAAUUUGGAGUGAUGUACACUUUUAAUAAAACUUUUAUACGCAUAUUUAGCAAUCGAGGGAUUCCCGAUCAAUUAGGCACCGUUUUUACCAUAAUAAUGAUUAUGAAAACUCAAAAAGGAAAUAUAUAUUUUUACAAGUGUAUUUUUAUGGAAAUUAAUAAUAAAACCCUAUAAUAAA